GACGAACGCUGGCGGCGUGCCUAAUACAUGCAAGUCGAACGCUUUUUCUUUCACCGGAGCUUGCUCCACCGAAAGAAAAAGAGUGGCGAACGGGUGAGUAACACGUGGGUAACCUGCCCAUCAGAAGGGGAUAACACUUGGAAACAGGUGCUAAUACCGUAUAACGCUAUUUUCCGCAUGGAAGAAAGUUGAAAGGCGCUUUUGCGUCACUGAUGGAUGGACCCGCGGUGCAUUAGCUAGUUGGUGAGGUAACGGCUCACCAAGGCAACGAUGCAGAGCCGACCUGAGAGGGUGAGCGGCCACACUGGGACUGAGAAACGGCCCAGACUCCUACGGGAGGUAGCAGUAGGGAAUCUUCGGCAAUGGACGAAAGUCUGACCGAGCAACGCCGCGUGAGUGAAGAAGGUUUUCGGAUCGUAAAACUCUGUUGUUAGAGAAGAACAAGGAUGAGAGUAAAACGUUCAUCCCUUGACGGUAUCUAACCAGAAAGCCACGGCUAACUACGUGCCAGCCGCCGCGGUAA
This 523-nucleotide ribosomal RNA is filed under the name uncultured bacterium. Its description in RNAcentral is "partial 16S ribosomal RNA". It matches the Rfam family "Bacterial small subunit ribosomal RNA", at positions 28 to 523 of the family's 1533-position model. The record is from RNAcentral.